CGUAGGGGCUAGCGUUAUCCGGAAUUACUGGGCGUAAAGGGUGCGUAGGUGGUUUCUUAAGUCAGAGGUGAAAGGCUACGGCUCAACCGUAGUAAGCCUUUGAAACUGGGAAACUUGAGUGCAGGAGAGGAGAGUGGAAUUCCUAGUGUAGCGGUGAAAUGCGUAGAUAUUAGGAGGAACACCAGUUGCGAAGGCGGCUCUCUGGACUGUAACUGACACUGAGGCACGAAAGCGUGGGGAGCAAACAGGAUU
This 252-nucleotide ribosomal RNA is filed under the name uncultured bacterium. RNAcentral's name for it is "partial 16S ribosomal RNA". It matches the Rfam family "Bacterial small subunit ribosomal RNA", at positions 526 to 779 of the family's 1533-position model. The record is from RNAcentral.